ACCGAGUGGUUCCGCUACUGCCCAUCGCCCAGACUCUCCUACCAGGCAGUGUGACCCUGACUCUGUGACGGGUCUGAGGAUGCCCUCCGACGUCAGCUCUUAGAAGGUGUUACCUGCUUUCAGACUACCUCGCUGCGACGCACGUCCUACUUCCGGAAUCCCAACAUUUGACGACAGUGCGAUAUCCUUGGGCAUCAUCAAUUAUGGACGACGCGACUGGUUUCGCUCUCCUUCACGGCCGAUUGAGGCACGGUCGUCGGCGCCAUUAUGCCUCCCGCGUUCGCAACAAGCCUAAGUGACCCGUAUUUCUCGUACAUCCGCCAGACGAGUCGGCCUACACUUUCGGGAGCCGGGUUGGCCCCUUGACGUAGGCUAUGACCAUCUGAUCUCCUGUCGUUCCCACUCACCUUGAGGUCCACCUUGCCACUUUACACAUCUAUAGACCUCCUUGUGGCCACCGCUUUCGCCGAGUGACCCGACAGUGACUGCGACUCUACGCUUUCGGUCCCCUCGCUUGCCCUAAUCUAUGGGGCCAUCAGGACCGGCAUUUGCUACCCGUGAUCCGUUACCCAAAUGGAUACCUUGAGGAACGGCAUCGAU
RNAcentral lists this ribosomal RNA (600 nucleotides) under uncultured Actinomycetes bacterium. RNAcentral's name for it is "uncultured actinobacterium partial 16S ribosomal RNA". Lineage: Bacteria; Bacillati; Actinomycetota; Actinomycetes. The record is from RNAcentral.